RNAcentral lists this long non-coding RNA (2870 nucleotides) under Sus scrofa (pig). Its description in RNAcentral is "lncRNA (ENSSSCG00015002686.1)". The record is from RNAcentral. Lineage: Eukaryota; Metazoa; Chordata; Mammalia; Artiodactyla; Suidae.
UUUUUUUUUUCUUUUCCUCCUUCUGUUAUUCAACAACCAUUUCUUCAACACUUACUGUGCCAGGCACUGCACUUUACACUAGAGAUAAGACAAGGCUAACAGGUUUUAUGGUAUAUUAGGGAACACAGAUAGUAUACAAAUAACUACACUUAGUGAGCAUUUAAGUUGUCGUGAGAAACACUGUAAGGAUUGACCAAUGUUACACCAACAUAAAAUGCAGAUGUUGGAAUGAUUAUGUUUUUAAAUUUUUAAACCUUCAUAAAAAUGUUUAAAGAACCUGUGGUUUCGAAGUUUACCAUUCUGAUUUAUUCUUUUUGUGUAUGAGAAAUACUAACUCAGAGUAAAAAUCUAAAACAUAAGAAAAAUCUUCUCACAUAGAAAAGGAGUAAGAAGGUGCAGGCCGAUAGGGUAGGUUGAAAACAGACCAAACUGUCCAUAAACUUGGACUGAAAUAUAUUUGAUCCUGUAAUGUUGGGCUCAAUAUUACAAUUCCUCAGGAAGUUGUCUUUUAUUUUUAUUUUUUUGUCUUUUUAGGUCCCCAUCUGCAGCAUAUGGAGGGGCCCAAAGAAAUAGCAAAAAGACCAAAAAAUAAAAAAAUAAAAAUAAAAAUGUAAGUAGCAGAAUUCAGCCAUUUAUCAUUUAAUGUGACUGACUUGCUUUAAUUGUCCUUCUAAACACUUAGCUAAGAGUGCAAAAAAAUUAACAUUCUUACUGGUAGCUUAGGGGAAGGAAGACACAAAGGCAAUUCUGAACUAUGUCCAUGCUAGGUGAAGACUCUGGACAUCAAGAGGGCAGCAAAAGGACCCACAGCACUUCAGUGCGAUAGGAGAAGGAAAGAGAGUCCAGGACUAGAUGCUGAAAUUUAGUCAAAGACAAUUUUAAACUCUAUGUACUUCUGACCAACAGUAGAGCCAAAGCAAAUAUUUACAGUGAAACAUCAGGUAAGCAACUAAUGGUUAUAACUGCGAAGAAAAUACCAUAAAAGUUGAAAUAGUCUAUAUGUACAGAAUAUUAACUAAAACUAGUAGAGUCUGAACUCAUGCAACUAUGAAUUCAACUAACUGUACAUGUUACUAUUUAAUAUCAUUUUUUAUAACCAAAGAUUGAUGUGGAAUGUUGUCAAGGUUUUAUAUGGUUGCCCUGUGUCUGCUGAUACAAAGAAGCAAUCAGAAGCUCUCUACAAGUAACACUGAAAAUACAACCAUGGAGAAAGUUGUGGUUUUUCCUAAUUUAAAAUUAUUCAAUUACAAAACUGGUUUCUCUAGUAAGAAAAGGAAUUGUUGAUUCCUACUAUUCAUUGUUUGAACACUUCUUGAUUUUAGGCCCAAAUACAUGUUUACAUUUUGUUUUGUUUUUACUUUUUUAGGGCCACACCCAUGGCAUAUGGAAGUUCCCAGGCUAGGGGCUGAAUCAGAGCUACAGCUGCCAGCCUACACAGCCACAGGAACGAGGGAUAAGCCGCUUCUGCAAAGUACACCACAGCUCACUGCAAAGCUGGAUCCUUAACCCACUGAGCGAGGCCAGGGAUUGAACCCAUGUCCUCAUAGAUCCUACUUGGGUUCAUUACCACUGAGCCAUGACAGGAAGUCCACAUGUUUAUGUUUUAAAUGGAUGAAAUCUAGUCAUUAAAGAGUGUACUAAUAAAGCAUCUGAAGAUCAUUUUAUAUAAGGAAGGUAACUUUCUUGUGAGAGAGGGCCUAUCUACCUUAAAAGCUGAAUGUGUCACUUCAGUUUUACUACAGUAUAUAGUAUAAGGUUUUGGGGUAUAUAUUUUAACUUAGGUAUAAAAUAGUCAUGUACUAAAAUAUAGUAUGGUUUGCAAAGUACAUUAUUUGAUAAAGGAAUGUUUGUACACAGGAAUGCUGGACUAAUUAUAAAAUGCUAGUAAUCAUAUGAACAAAGAUCAUGAGUUAUUCACUUAGCCUACAUAAAAUCUAUACUAAUUUUCUGCCAAUAAUACCUUUUCCUGGCCAAGUACUAUGGUUCAUAUCUCACAAACAGAAACUGAAGAACAGUCAUCAUUUAUUUUAAACAUUUCCUUUGGACUAAUGUUCAAAUAACACAUAGCCAUCUCCAACAUUUCUAAUUUCUUAUAACAUGGGCACUUAAAUUCCUGAUUCAAGAAAGGAUAACCAGAGGCCUUACACUGGGGGCUGAUAAUGAAAACCCAAGCAAGGAAAACUAACUGCUCAAAGCAUAAUUGGCUUAUGGUAAUGCCACUUGUUAAGCACCGUAGAUAGCUCUUUUCUAUAAAUUCAUUAGAAUUGUAAGAGUGCCCAUUUCUAGGGAAUCUUUAAGCAACUGACAUACUUCUCAAUAAAAUUAGAAAAGCUUUUAAAAAUCCUAUCCUUAACAUUAUCAAGCAUGAAAACUACCUGACUGUUAAAAUAUUCUUAUGGGAACAUAAUAGUGUUAAAAUUACAUUAUAUUAUAUAUUACAUUAUAGAAGAAUAAUAGGAGAAAAAAAUUAUGCCUAAAUAGUCAUGGUUCUUCCUAUAAAACUGAUUAAUACAAUGCUCUACAAAUUUAUAAAAUUUUAGAUUUGGAAAACUGUGUUGCAUGGUCUACAUGGUCUUCAUAUUUUUCUGUUCUUUCUGAAUCCUGAGGCAGAACUGGCAUUCUCCGUGCAACACUCUGUCACAGGGAAACCACCAAGGAACACUAGAGUUUAUGAACGGCACAGCCUUUUAAUUGCACUACUUUAAGGUGAUAGUCACACCCAAGACACCAGGUAAGUAAAAAUGAGAAAAGUAUGAAUUCUUUGUACUUUGAGCUUUUCACAGGAAAAAGUGUUUUAUAAAUUCAAGUUGGUCUUUUAUGGGGGGAGGAGGCGCAAUGAAAAAAUAUCUCAAACAAAAGAAAAAAAAAAA